Molecule: ribosomal RNA, 589 nt
Filed under: uncultured bacterium
Lineage: Bacteria
Description: partial 16S ribosomal RNA
Rfam family: Bacterial small subunit ribosomal RNA
Source: RNAcentral
UGGGGAAUUUUGGACAAUGGGCGAAAGCCUGAUCCAGCAAUGCCGCGUGUGUGAAGAAGGCCUUCGGGUUGUAAAGCACUUUUGUCCGGAAAGAAAUCCUUGGUUCUAAUAUAGCCGGGGGGAUGACGGUACCGGAAGAAUAAGCACCGGCUAACUACGUGCCAGCAGCCGCGGUAAUACGUAGGGUGCGAGCGUUAAUCGGAAUUACUGGGCGUAAAGCGUGCGCAGGCGGUUUGCUAAGACCGAUGUGAAAUCCCCGGGCUCAACCUGGGAACUGCAUUGGUGACUGGCAGGCUAGAGUAUGGCAGAGGGGGGUAGAAUUCCACGUGUAGCAGUGAAAUGCGUAGAGAUGUGGAGGAAUACCGAUGGCGAAGGCAGCCCCCUGGGCCAAUACUGACGCUCAUGCACGAAAGCGUGGGGAGCAAACAGGAUUAGAUACCCCUGGGUAGUCCACGCCCUAAACGAUGUCAACUAGUUGUUGGGGGAUUCAUUUCCUUAGUAACGUAGCUAACGCGUGAAGUUGACCGCCUGGGGAGUACGGUCGCAAGAUUAAAACUUAAAGGAAUUGACGGGGUCAUAGCUGUUUCCU